CAGUGAGAUCAACUAGCAGGGGCUUGUGCUGAAGAUCUGAAAAAGACUUUAAAAAUCACCCUGAUCUAUUUCCCCCCAAAAGAAGCCUACACUCUAAAAGAAGACAAAUGGGCAUAUGAAUCUGCAUUCUUCCUGAUGUGAUAUAUACCAGAAGAAGAGAAUCCAUGCGCUGGAUUUGACACAAGACUUGGUGCAUUCGGACCUGAAAUCCAGGAAUCAUGAUGCAGUGGCUAUUCGCUUUUGUAACCAGAAGGUAGAACAUGCAUUGCUCAGGACAGCCAGGACGGGCAGGGACACCAGUGCUUCCUCCUUUCUAUGACACUAUGGAUCCAAGGGCAACUCAAGCACCUUGUGCUCCUAUUUUAAUUUUCUCUUUUCCCCAUCUGUGCCUCAUGAUAACAGGAAAUAGUUAAGAAUGAGGAUGUGCUACUAACAACAUAAUAAAGCCCGAACAUGAA
Marmota monax (woodchuck) is the source of this 458-nucleotide long non-coding RNA. RefSeq lists it as uncharacterized. Lineage: Eukaryota; Metazoa; Chordata; Mammalia; Rodentia; Sciuridae. The transcript has 3 exons. The record is from RefSeq and is a predicted model, not a curated record.